This 107-nucleotide small nuclear RNA is filed under the name Cercocebus atys (sooty mangabey). The record is from RNAcentral. Lineage: Eukaryota; Metazoa; Chordata; Mammalia; Primates; Cercopithecidae.
GUGCUUGCUUUGGCUGCACAUAUCCUAAAAUUGGAGCAAUACAGAGAAAAUUAGCAUGGCCCCUGAAUAGGCAGGCUGCACAAAUUUUUGAAAAAAAAAAAAAAAAA